GGUGGUAUAGCUCAGUUGUAGAGUGUGUGCUUAGUAUGUAUCAGGCCCUAGGUUCAAUUCCUAGCGUCA
This 69-nucleotide transfer RNA is filed under the name Fukomys damarensis (Damara mole-rat). It matches the Rfam family "tRNA". From Rfam's summary of the family: Transfer RNA (tRNA) molecules are approximately 80 nucleotides in length. Their secondary structure includes four short double-helical elements and three loops (D, anti-codon, and T loops). Further hydrogen bonds mediate the characteristic L-shaped molecular structure. tRNAs have two regions of fundamental functional importance: the anti-codon, which is responsible for specific mRNA codon recognition, and the 3' end, to which the tRNAs corresponding amino acid is attached (by aminoacyl-tRNA synthetases). tRNAs cope with the degeneracy of the genetic code in two manners: having more than one tRNA (with a specific anti-codon) for a particular amino acid; and 'wobble' base-pairing, i.e. permitting non-standard base-pairing at the 3rd anti-codon position. The record is from Rfam by way of RNAcentral. Lineage: Eukaryota; Metazoa; Chordata; Mammalia; Rodentia; Bathyergidae.